CUUGGCGAACUGGUGAGUAAUACAUUGGAAUCUACCCCUAACUCGGGGAUAACCCAUCGAAAGGUGGGAUAAUACCCGAUAGUCUCGAAAGAGUAAAGUUCCGGCGGUUAGGGAGGAGCCUCUGUCCUAUCAGCUUGUUGGUAAGGUAAUGGCUUACCAAGGCGAUGACGGGUAGCUGGUCUGAGAGGAUGAUCAGCCACAUUGGGACUGAGAUACGGCCCAGACUCC
RNAcentral lists this ribosomal RNA (228 nucleotides) under uncultured bacterium. RNAcentral's name for it is "partial 16S ribosomal RNA". It matches the Rfam family "Bacterial small subunit ribosomal RNA", at positions 94 to 339 of the family's 1533-position model. The record is from RNAcentral.